Long non-coding RNA from Lolium perenne, 1329 nucleotides. RefSeq lists it as uncharacterized. The record is from RefSeq and is a predicted model, not a curated record. NCBI's taxonomy places the organism in Eukaryota, Viridiplantae, Streptophyta, Magnoliopsida, Poales, Poaceae.
CACGUCCUUGGUCAUCUCCACCAGUACCUUCCGCGCGGGACAACACCGGCGUCAACCACUAGUACCCGGUCGUCGGGGCGUUGUGGUACCUGAGCAGUAGGAGGCGAAGGGCACACUCGCCGGGGGAAGGGUUGGGCGCAGCUGGAUGGAGCAGGAGGUUCUCGCUGGUGGAGGAGCAGGGGCGGCGCGCUCGCCGGCCAACGCGCUCGCCGGCAGAGGCGCUUGCCGAGGGAAGAUCUGGGGCGUGCUCGUCGGGGAAGGAGCUGGGAUGGCGGCGUGCUUGACAGGGGAGAAGCUGGGGAGGCGGCGUGCUUGCUAGGGGAGAAGCUGGGGCAGCGACGCUCUCGCCGAAGGAGGAGCUGGGAAAGUGCGCUCGCUGGAGGAGUAAUGGAGUAGCAGGCGGCGUGCUUCUCGCUAGGAACGGAGGAAAGUGGGAGUUGGAUAACGAAGAGGAAGGAAAGUUUGUGUGGCCAGCCUUAGUAUAAGGAACCAGUGGGACCCAUCCACGUGCGGCUUGAACAAAGACCAAUUUUCCGGCCGGAUCGGUCGACUGAUCGGCAGCGUUUUCCUUUACCCUACCCCUCCCUGAAAGUAGCCACGAGGAGAGUAGCGCCGCCUCCCUUGUCCGCGUUCUGCGCCCCCGCCUCCGCUGCGAUCGGAAACCCUCGCUGCCCCGCCUCCGCCGCCGCCCGCCCGCCAACCCUCGCGCGGCCGUCCACUGCGCCGCCCUUCCACCCUUAUUGCCCGCCUAAAGCCAGGUCGAUGAAGUCCAGCCGGCGCUGCUUCGCCCGCGCGAGUCUCCCAACAGUACGCCCUCGUACCCUUGAGCCACCUCCCGCCGCAGCAGUGCACCUGGACGUCCUCGCCGCACAAUACAAACAUCCGCGCCGGAGUUCCUGAACUAGCAGAUCACCGCAGGCGGCCGCUUCCCUGCAUAUUCGACCUCCACGGCGCCUGUACCCGCUGCGCGGAAGUUCCGUCUUGAUUGCCCUCACGCCGGGUGCCGCAGAUGAAAUGAGAUGUAUCUACAAGAGGUGGUUUGAUCAGCAAGAUUGGCAACAGGGGUUGUUUCAUCAUCUACAUACCCAAAAAAGUUUAGAGAGACGGUCUUUAAACAAAAUCUUCAGCGAGUAUAUUAGUUUGUUCCGUCAAUCUUGUUGACAAAGAUGCUAUAUAUGGCAUGUUUGCUCGAAGUGUUCAAAGUGAGAAAUGUUUGAUUUUAAAUUCUUGAACUAUAGCAUGUGUGUUCCAAGUGUUGACUUGUGGUUCAGAGGGUUAUAUUUAAUGUUUUCACAUACACGUAUGCUUCAGGAGGUUGAAGAAGCCAAA